Molecule: non-coding RNA, 73 nt
Organism: Trichonephila clavipes
Lineage: Eukaryota; Metazoa; Arthropoda; Arachnida; Araneae; Nephilidae
Source: the annotation of a GenBank genome assembly
GUCCCUGCAACGCAAUGGAUAGCGAGUUGGAUUUCUAUUCCAAAAGUCGUGGGUUCGAAUUCCACCUGUGAUG